This 1829-nucleotide ribosomal RNA is filed under the name Escherichia coli. Its description in RNAcentral is "partial 23S ribosomal RNA". It matches the Rfam family "Bacterial large subunit ribosomal RNA", at positions 984 to 2798 of the family's 2925-position model. Lineage: Bacteria; Pseudomonadati; Pseudomonadota; Gammaproteobacteria; Enterobacterales; Enterobacteriaceae. The record is from RNAcentral.
ACACACGGCGGGUGCUAACGUCCGUCGUGAAGAGGGAAACAACCCAGACCGCCAGCUAAGGUCCCAAAGUCAUGGUUAAGUGGGAAACGAUGUGGGAAGGCCCAGACAGCCAGGAUGUUGGCUUAGAAGCAGCCAUCAUUUAAAGAAAGCGUAAUAGCUCACUGGUCGAGUCGGCCUGCGCGGAAGAUGUAACGGGGCUAAACCAUGCACCGAAGCUGCGGCAGCGACACUGUGUGUUGUUGGGUAGGGGAGCGUUCUGUAAGCCUGCGAAGGUGUGCUGUGAGGCAUGCUGGAGGUAUCAGAAGUGCGAAUGCUGACAUAAGUAACGAUAAAGCGGGUGAAAAGCCCGCUCGCCGGAAGACCAAGGGUUCCUGUCCAACGUUAAUCGGGGCAGGGUGAGUCGACCCCUAAGGCGAGGCCGAAAGGCGUAGUCGAUGGGAAACAGGUUAAUAUUCCUGUACUUGGUGUUACUGCGAAGGGGGGACGGAGAAGGCUAUGUUGGCCGGGCGACGGUUGUCCCGGUUUAAGCGUGUAGGCUGGUUUUCCAGGCAAAUCCGGAAAAUCAAGGCUGAGGCGUGAUGACGAGGCACUACGGUGCUGAAGCAACAAAUGCCCUGCUUCCAGGAAAAGCCUCUAAGCAUCAGGUAACAUCAAAUCGUACCCCAAACCGACACAGGUGGUCAGGUAGAGAAUACCAAGGCGCUUGAGAGAACUCGGGUGAAGGAACUAGGCAAAAUGGUGCCGUAACUUCGGGAGAAGGCACGCUGAUACGUAGGUGAAGUCCCUCGCGGAUGGAGCUGAAAUCAGUCGAAGAUACCAGCUGGCUGCAACUGUUUAUUAAAAACACAGCACUGUGCAAACACGAAAGUGGACGUAUACGGUGUGACGCCUGCCCGGUGCCGGAAGGUUAAUUGAUGGGGUCAGCGCAAGCGAAGCUCUUGAUCGAAGCCCCGGUAAACGGCGGCCGUAACUAUAACGGUCCUAAGGUAGCGAAAUUCCUUGUCGGGUAAGUUCCGACCUGCACGAAUGGCGUAAUGAUGGCCAGGCUGUCUCCACCCGAGACUCAGUGAAAUUGAACUCGCUGUGAAGAUGCAGUGUACCCGCGGCAAGACGGAAAGACCCCGUGAACCUUUACUAUAGCUUGACACUGAACAUUGAGCCUUGAUGUGUAGGAUAGGUGGGAGGCUUUGAAGUGUGGACGCCAGUCUGCAUGGAGCCGACCUUGAAAUACCACCCUUUAAUGUUUGAUGUUCUAACGUUGACCCGUAAUCCGGGUUGCGGACAGUGUCUGGUGGGUAGUUUGACUGGGGCGGUCUCCUCCUAAAGAGUAACGGAGGAGCACGAAGGUUGGCUAAUCCUGGUCGGACAUCAGGAGGUUAGUGCAAUGGCAUAAGCCAGCUUGACUGCGAGCGUGACGGCGCGAGCAGGUGCGAAAGCAGGUCAUAGUGAUCCGGUGGUUCUGAAUGGAAGGGCCAUCGCUCAACGGAUAAAAGGUACUCCGGGGAUAACAGGCUGAUACCGCCCAAGAGUUCAUAUCGACGGCGGUGUUUGGCACCUCGAUGUCGGCUCAUCACAUCCUGGGGCUGAAGUAGGUCCCAAGGGUAUGGCUGUUCGCCAUUUAAAGUGGUACGCGAGCUGGGUUUAGAACGUCGUGAGACAGUUCGGUCCCUAUCUGCCGUGGGCGCUGGAGAACUGAGGGGGGCUGCUCCUAGUACGAGAGGACCGGAGUGGACGCAUCACUGGUGUUCGGGUUGUCAUGCCAAUGGCACUGCCCGGUAGCUAAAUGCGGAAGAGAUAAGUGCUGAAAGCAUCUAAGCACGAAACUUGCC